Molecule: ribosomal RNA, 887 nt
Filed under: Dactylellina parvicollis
Lineage: Eukaryota; Fungi; Ascomycota; Orbiliomycetes; Orbiliales; Orbiliaceae
Description: LSU rRNA
Rfam family: Eukaryotic large subunit ribosomal RNA
Source: RNAcentral
GGAAAAGAAACCAACAGGGAUUGCCUCAGUAACGGCGAGUGAAGCGGCAAAAGCUCAAAUUUGAAAUCUGGAGCCUUCGGCUUCCGAGUUGUAAUUUGAAGAGGGUGUUUCGGUUGCGGCCCUGGCCUAAGUUCCUUGGAACAGGACGUCAUGGAGGGUGAGAAUCCCGUACAUGGCUGAGGGCUUGCUUCCAUGUGAAACCCCUUCGAAGAGUCGAGUUGUUUGGGAAUGCAGCUCAAAAUGGGUGGUAAAUUUCAUCUAAAGCUAAAUAUUGGCGGGAGACCGAUAGCGCACAAGUAGAGUGAUCGAAAGAUGAAAAGCACUUUGAAAAGAGAGUUAAACAGUACGUGAAAUUGUUGAAAGGGAAGCGCUUGCAAUCAGACUCGCUUUCGGUUGAUCAGCGACGCCUUCUGGCGCGUGCACUCUGCCGUUUGCGGGCCAGCAUCGGUUGGGGCGGCGGGACAAAGGCGGCGGGAAUGUGGCUCCUCUCGGGGAGUGUUAUAGCCCGUCGCGUCAUGCCGCCAGCCCCGACCGAGGUCCGCGGUUCGCCUAGGAUGCUGGCUUAAUGGUUGUAAGCGACCCGUCUUGAAACACGGACCAAGGAGUCUAACAUCUAUGCGAGUCUUUGGGUGUCAAACCCAUGGGCGGAAUGAAAGUGAACGGAGGUGGGAGUCCUCGGACGCACCAUCGACCGAUCCUGAUGUUCUCGGAUGGAUUUGAGUAGGAGCAUAGCUGUUGGGACCCGAAAGAUGGUGAACUAUGCCUGAAUAGGGUGAAGCCAGAGGAAACUCUGGUGGAGGCUCGCAGCGGUUCUGACGUGCAAAUCGAUCGUCAAAUUUGGGUAUAGGGGCGAAAGACUAAUCGAACCAUCUAGUAGCUGGUUCCUA